Molecule: long non-coding RNA, 220 nt
Filed under: Spirodela polyrhiza (greater duckweed)
Lineage: Eukaryota; Viridiplantae; Streptophyta; Magnoliopsida; Alismatales; Araceae
Description: long non-coding RNA (SPOL_LNC001774)
Source: RNAcentral
GGUACUCCUCGCUGAUCAUUCCGCCGCCGGUGCCCCCCCUCUCGCCGCCUUCUCCCCGUCCGCCGGCCGAAGCGCCGCCGCCGCCGCCGCCGUCUACUCUCCCCCCUCCGCUCGCCUCCGUCGCCGCUGCCGCCGCCUUCGCCCGCGCGGAAGUCAACGAGGUAGCGCUCUCGCAGCCCCUUCCUGGUUUCGACGUUGUGACCUAGGGUUUCGAUCCUCC